Molecule: long non-coding RNA, 6904 nt
Filed under: Homo sapiens (human)
Lineage: Eukaryota; Metazoa; Chordata; Mammalia; Primates; Hominidae
Description: HSALNT0303938
Source: RNAcentral
GGGGGGCAAGAAUAGAUUUUUGAAUCAUGAGAACCUAAAAACAUCUGUAAGUCUAAGGGACCAUCUUAAAGAAGCCAGUGAGAACUUCUUCUAUUAUCUGGAUCACUUAAAAUCAAACCAAGCAUUUACCUACAAGGCCCCAGGGGCUCUGACAUUUGUGAUCUCAUAAUUCUUCCAUUGAUACCAUGAGGCUGGAAACCCUAUGGUUGCUGGCUUCCCUGGGUCACUUGGCUGCCUCUGGGCUGCCAACAUAGAACCCACGUCACAUAAAGCCCCGGCCCAAGUAAAAUGCCAACAUCCAGGCCAAAUCCACACUUUUCCAUUUGUGAACAUGUCGCGCUUAAGAAUUACCUCCCUUCUUUCUGGGAUGGCUCAAAUAAUGGAAGGAAUGGUCCUCCAUCACCUUGAGGUUUUGUCAGCUUGACGUCCUCAUCCAAGCCUGACCACAGCCGUUAUGACAGCAUGAAUGCAAACACCACCUCUCCUGACCUAGACGCUGCACCCGGCUGUGCCCGCUUCUGCUGUAGGGAGAGUCAGUGAGGUCCAUCUGCAGCCUUCCUCCUUUUCCUUGAAUGGGGCUUGGCAUUGAGGUUUGUGCACACCCUGUAUAGAAGGCAAAUGUUGAGGCCAGCCUUGUCCCCAGGCUCAGUCUUCCUGAAGACUUUGUCACUCCUGCUCACAGCACCCACUUUCUCCCCUUCCACACGGGAUGUGUUGCUUCCUCCUGUUUCUUCUCUUUGCAGAUCUCCAGUUUUCUGUCUCCUUCAAGAAAUCUCCCCAGGGCCUCUAUAUCCCCUUUUCUCUGCCUCCCUAUUGAAGCAGAUGUUUUACCUCAGCCUUUCCUAGUACACUGUACUGUUUUAAAAACUAUUGAAUGAAAGGGCAUGUUUUCCUUUCCUUUCCCCAUUUAGAUUACACACCUCUGGCAGUGGGGCCUCCAGCAAGUCUUAAAGAUCUCGACGCACCGACAUCUUGGCACAUAGUAGUUAACAAUAAGUAACUGUUCAAUUGGCUUCUAGUUGAACCUCAUAUGUCUUGGUUAACAUGUGCAGGAUUGGUAGGCAUUCAGCCCCAAUUAUUCCGCCCUUAACUCAUUUUUGCAGUUUAUUAAUAAUCAGUUGGCACGCAGUUUCGAAAGAACUAAUUCUGUAAUAACAUGUUAUGGCUACUCCUCGGCGCCAUUACAUGCCUGAGGUCCCUUGCUGUCCCUUUGUGUUUUUGAUGAAAGGUAACAGCCUGGUGUUCCCAGCCGUCACCCAGAGGUGGGAGCAGAUCCGGCUGCUGCAGCUUAUUGCUAGGAAUGGGUGAGGCUGAGUGGAAGCUUUAGUAACUCAGGUGCGGCUCUUAAGCUUUGUUUUGAGUUUCAAAAGGGCUGUUUUGUCCCUUACUCGUGAAGUGGCCUUGUGUGACAUAAUGGCCCCCUCUGUGCAGGGUUCGAGGGGAAGGGAAGGGGAACAUGCCCAGCGACUCCACGUGGGGAAGUUGCAUUUCCACACCAUUCACAGGGGAUCCAGUGUUUUCGGAAUUGUCUGGGUGUGAACAGCAUAAGAGGUGCUAGAAACUCAGCAAGGGAAGGGGGAGCUGGGCCAGGAGGAGAAGGCUGGGGAUGGGCUGAGGAGAGAGAGCUUCCUGGCCAGAGGCAGCCCCAGGCAUGGGUCUUGGGUUCUGAGUGGGCAGGAUUCUGGCUCAGGGUGAGAGGUGAAACUUCGUUCAGGAGAUAUACGCUGAGCCAUCCACUACGUGCCAGGCACCUUAGAAAGGGCCGGGUAUUCAUAUUGUGACUUCACACGGCUCCCUGCAGAGUUGACGUUGGGAGCUGCCCUGCUAGCCACGGACCACAUUGUGAACAGCACCCCCUGGGGGUGGGAGAUGUGGUGGGCGGAGUUCAGGAUCCAGCCACAGGGAAAGAACGAACAGGCAAACUGUGGGAUCCCGGCCUGCCAGGGAGGGUUCAGGGUAAAGCCUUCAGUUUGCUUGUUCAUUCAUUUAUUCAAUAUUUAUUGAAGGCCUCACAGGGAGGUGACAAACUCUAUAGACACAUACACGGGGGAAGAGCACGCCAGGCAGAGGGAACAGCAGGUGCAAAGGGGAUGGCGCUUGGUAGGUUCCAGGAGCGGGCAGAACAGAGUGGCUGGAGCAGAGUGGGCAAGGCUGGGGGGCAGCACUGAAGGAGGCACAGUCAGAAAGGGGACAGGGGGCUGGUCACAGGGGCAUGCAGCCCAUGAUGAAGCCUUUUGACUGAGAUGGGGAGUAGAGAGGGGUCUUGAGCAGAAAGGUGACGUGAUCCAACCUUUGUUUUAACGUAGCGCCAUGGCUGCCAUGAUAUAAUCAUAGACCGAAGGGGUCAAGGGUAGAAAAUCAGAGACAAGUUGUUGGGCCAGUGGGGCCUGGAUGGUGGCAGUAGAAAUGGGGAAAGUUCUCAGAUUCUGGACCCAUUUUGAAGGAGGAGUGACAGGAUUUGCUGAUGGAACAAAUGUGGGGAGCAAGAGGAAGAAGAGUUAGGAAUGUCUCCUGGGCAGUGGGAAAGAAGAAAGUGUCAUUGACAGAAAUGGAGAAGACUGUGGGAGGGGCAGGUUUGGGAGGAAAUAAUUAGGAGCUCUGUUUGGGACAUGUUGUAUUGGAGAUACUUUUUGGACAUCCAGUGGGGAGAGUGAUAGGUGGGGUAAUUGGGUCUAGAAGUCAGGGAUGAGGUCUAGGUUAGAGACAGAGACUUUAGUCAUCAGCAUGUUGAUGGUACUUCAAGCCAUGAGACUGGAGGAGAUCCCUGAGACUGAAGCUGAGAAAAAAAGAGGUCAAGGGCUGAGCCGUGGGCACUACAGCUUUUGCACACUGGAGAGAAGAGCAAGAACUGGCAAAGGAGACUGAGAAGGAGCAGCCAGAGAGGCUUUUUCUAGCAGCUGUGAUCAGCAAGGGGAAAGGACCUGCCUAAAGUCAUCACACUGCUAAUUGGGGUCGAGUUAGAACCCAAGUCUCUGGGCCCCGCUUGAGGCUGUUUACCUCUUCAGGACAGAAGGGACCAGCUGGAUAUAAGAGCUGAAGGAGAGAGACCAGACCAGAGCAUCUAUUCAGGAAAUUUUAGGCCCUUUCUCAGACGGCCUAAAAUUAGACCUUCGCCACUCCCAACCAAAGCAUGUCAUGACAUGGAAGAAGGUGGUCCCUGGCCUAAUGACCCAUUUCUGUAAAAAUGAGGUAGGAUGUGUAAACAGUGCAAUAAGACUAUGGAACAACAGACCGUGAGCCAGUGUCACCUUAAAUGUAAACGUUAGAGAUCUAGGCUUCUGAAGAAAUGUUGGAAAGCCUAUUAAACCACAUAGGUUUGGGAUUUUUCAUUGUGUAGCAGACAUAUGGCUUAGUGUUUGAUUUAAAAAAUAGGAAGUUGGUGGCCAUUUUCAUGAAUAGUUUGACAGCCAGUCAGAAGUGUGAUUGUCGUUUUACCUAAACGCAACUGCUGUUGUUCGUAAGGUCAGAAACCUGCUCACAGGGGCGGGGGCGGGGAGGUCUGGUCUGUUGGCUGUUUGACCCAUUUGGUUACGACCUCCAUGCUUUGUCCUGAGUAGGCUGGUUCAUGCUGGCAAGUCAAUGCAGAAAUAUUGAUCAGGUUCCUACUAAUUGCAAGGAUUGGGUUGAACGUUGCAGUAGGUAAGUAAAAGAUGAGUGGGGCCAUGACCUUAUAUAGGAACUGUCUGUUUCCUGGUCCACCAGAGCAACAACACAAGUAGUGGAACUGAUCUCAAGGCAGGGAAAGGUUAGUGUCACAACAGAAGAACAGUGAGCUUUGGAGCCUCAAAGAAAGAGGGGCCAUCUCCCUGUCCUUAAAAGAAAUCUUCCUCCUUUUUACUACCAUCGUAAGAGUUUACCUACUCCAGGCCCUGUGCAUGCUAAGCGUUCACUCAGUUAAACCACCACACAAUCUUAGGAACUGGAUUAUACUAAUACCUUUUCAACAUGUGGGAGCUGAGGCUCAGAAAGAUUAACUUUAGAUCAAGGUAACAACUGGUAAGGGGUACAGUCAGGAUUCAGUCCUAGCUCAGCCAGACCCCACUGUCAUGUGUGACCUUGCAGUGGGGCAGGGAGUGGCAGCAGGAGACUGAGUGGGAGCCCUUGGGUCUUUGGGAUGGUUUCACCUUUGGAAGAUCCAGGCCCCUCUUGCCAUGAGAGCCCCAUGAAGGGCUCAUGGCCUGGAGCGGGUGGGAGGGCAGGAAGCCCAGCUGGGCACGGGGCAGCUGGAGGAGUGCCUUAUUUGAGGCUGCUCUCGCAUCAUCUCAUUAGGGAUAAUCAUUUGUAGACUUGCUGCCACUGCAAACCAUCGGCCCCGCUCAAAUUUUCCCUGCAGCAGUGAUGAUGAAGUGAUUCCUUAGCAGAACUGCUGGGUAACACAAUUAAUUCAGACUUGGGGUGGAUGUUAGUGUGAAUUAGGGGGUCUUCUGAAUUAUAAAACCUUUCAAAAGGAGCACAGGUUUAUUGCUUCUGAACUUCACCAGGAAUUGAAGCCAGACUGGCAAGGGGGCUCCCUGGACGAAGUCCUCUGUGUGUCCCUUGUAGGUCAGUGGUGCUUUUUCCUGCAUUGGGGGGGCUUGAAGGUUGUUUCAUAGCCAUUUAGAUAUUCCCCUUGGAGUCUUGCUUGCAAUUAAUCUGUACUGUCUGUAAAAAGGGUUUGCCUAGCAAAGGUAAACUCCAGCACCCCGAUCCACAUUAAUGAGUUUUGCCUGUGUAAACCACGUUAAUUGUGGUUGUUGCUUUUUAAUUGUCCUUAAGUUUCUUGUAUGUUAACUGCUCCAGGCUAGAACUCUGGUUUCUGUUUCCGUUGGGGGCUCUAUUCUCACUCCUACCCAAAUAGCCUCGCCAAUCUGCACUGAGAUCUGCUCCCCUGCCCCCACCCUGUCUGGCAUUAGUACUAAGAAGAGAAUGAAGCUCAGAAAAACAGCCUCACUGGCCUAGAUGAGGAGGCACAGGUAUGUGGGGAAAACACGAGUGGAAGCCACAAGGUCUUCUGAGGGUCUGGAACUACCAGGUCAAGAGAAGAAAGACUUCAGAUUGUCACUGUUGGAUGUCUUAAUAUGAGGAAGGACUCAAACAGAGCUGUCCGCAGCUGCAACUGGCUGUCUUGAGAGGUGGUGACCUUUCUCGAGAAGGGUGGAAACUGUAGCCAGACAACUACUUGGUGAAGCAGCAUACAGAGAGAUCGCCCUUCUGAUGAUGCGCCCAGUCUGAGGCCUCACUGAGAUGGCCUCAAGAGUGUGUCUUGAGCUGGUUAGAAACUUACCAUCCUGGGCCCCACGACACACCUCUUGACCCAGACUGCAUCUUAACAGGAUCCUCAGCUAAUGCAUGCGAUUGUUCACUUCCAGGGCCUCUGGUUCAGGACCAGGGUGCAUGAGCAUCACCUGGAGGAGAUUUUUAAUACAAAUGCAGGGGCUGAGCUGCUGGCCUAGGACAUAGAAGGACCAUUCCCAUACCUCACAGUCCAGCUGUCUCCCCAUUCCCUCCCCCCUACAUGCUGUUGUGUUUCCAAGUUCAUGCCUGUGUGCACACCUGCACACAAGGGAAUAGGAAAAUGGCUUUGAUGUAUGGAAUCAUGUCUACAAGCUGCUUCAGUCAGGGGCCCUUCUUGCUGAGAGACCAGGCAGCUUUCCCAGGGAGCCCCAGGGCAGGGGCCUGAGGCACCUGCUUCCUGUUCUGUCCCCUGAGAGCUCCGCUUUGCCGGGAGAAAGGAGAAGCCUAAACAGGGUGGGCUGGGUCUGCGAGGCCUGCCUAAGGCUGCCCUCUGCCUUCCCAGCCCUUCAGUCCCUGAUCCUUUCGGGCCCCUCCUAGGCCAGAAUGUCCCAGAUUAGAUGGGGUGGGGAGGAUGUCUUCUGGUUGCUGUAGGCCUGCAUUAGGGGAGUAUCCUCUCUGGUCCCACGUGGGGCAGGUGCCCAGAGCCAGGAAUGAGCCGCCUGUGGUGAUUCCUGUGUGUCUGGAGUCCAGGAGUCCCUUGCACUGUUGGCCAGUGGUCACUGUGCGGUGAUUGACUGGGCUCAGUGUCUGUAGCUUUUGUCUGAGCCCCUUGCACCCCUCCCCGGGGAUGAUUGUCUGAGUUGGUGGAUGUUAAUCUGCAGCCCCUGAGAAGCUGCCUGGCAAAUGGGAGGUUAAUGUGCAAACAGCGGGGAGCAUUGUCCAUGUGUGAGGCUGGACAGCAAGUGGGAGGGAAAUAGUUAAAAAUCCUAUUCAUGGCUCAGGAGGGGAGGAGGGGUGGGCGCAGGAGCAGGCCCGGCCUUGUGCUAAUCUUGCUGGAAUGUAACUAGUUCGGGCAGUUUCUGGCUUCGAUGUGCUUUGGGGCCGGUUGGCGUCCCCCCCGCCCCAACCCAGUACAUCGAUGGUGCGUCCGCGCGCCGAAGGCUGCUCUUUGUGUUCUCUGCAGCCACAGCUUAGAAGCGUCCGAGUCAGACCGCUUUCAGUUGUAAGGAUGGGGAGGGAGGAAGCUCAGCGAGGCAGUUGUGUUAUCCAAAUCCACAGGCUCUUUCUCUGUUGGAGGAUUUGGGUGGGGGAAGGGAAUGGGCAGAAGAGAAUGUUCAAGGAGAAAGACCCUAAACCUGUUGGGUCAGGCUGCUCAGCUGCCUAGAGGCCUGGGAAUGCCUAGGGGGAAGCCCCUGCUUCCGGACACACAAUCAAUUACAUAUAACAGUGGGGCCUUGUGUGUGUAGGCGGGACACUGGGAGGGGUCGGCUCACAGCUCAUGUUUUAAUGCUUUACAAGGAGAGUGUGUUCAUGCAUUGCUUCUGCAACUUAUAAUCAAUUUAAAACAUUCUACAUCUUGAUCUAGGCUGGUGGUUACAUUGAUAUUUACAUAUUGGGCCAGGUUUGGUGGCUCAUGCCUGUAAUUUGGGAGGCCGAGGUGGGUGGAUCACCUGAGGUGUCAGGAGUUCGA